AGUGAACGCUGGCGGUAGGCCUAACACAUGCCAGUCGAACGGCAGCACAGUAAGAGCUUGCUCUUACGGGUGGCGAGUGGCGGACGGGUGAGGAAUACAUCGGAAUCUACUUUUUCGUGGGGGAUAACGUAGGGAAACUUACGCUAAUACCGCAUACGACCUACGGGUGAAAGCAGGGGAUCUUCGGACCUUGCGCGAUUGAAUGAGCCGAUGUCGGAUUAGCUAGUUGGCGGGGUAAAGGCCCACCAAGGCGACGAUCCGUAGCUGGUCUGAGAGGAUGAUCAGCCACACUGGAACUGAGACACGGUCCAGACUCCUACGGGAGGCAGCAGUGGGGAAUAUUGGACAAUGGGCGCAAGCCUGAUCCAGCCAUACCGCGUGGGUGAAGAAGGCCUACGGGUUGUAAAGCCCUUUUGUUGGGAAAGAAAAGCAGCAGGUUAAUACCCCGCUGUUCUGACGGUACCCAAAGAAUAAGCACCGGCUAACUUCGUG
RNAcentral lists this ribosomal RNA (492 nucleotides) under uncultured bacterium. RNAcentral describes it as "partial 16S ribosomal RNA". It matches the Rfam family "Bacterial small subunit ribosomal RNA", at positions 29 to 507 of the family's 1533-position model. The record is from RNAcentral.